GUUUGUUUGGCUUUUUUUCUUCCCCCUGCAGUGACACAGGUCCGGGAUGUCUCCACCACUGUAGUAGAAAUGAUGUCUGCGGUACAGCGCUCGCUCCCUCUCCUCUCUCCAGCAUGUAAAUGGGUCUCUGCAAGUGCCAUAAACUGCAGUGAUGGGCAAGUAGCAAACAUGGAUGCAAAACCAAGACCACAGAAAACAUCCUCCUUCUGGACUGUCUCAGUCUGCUAUGAGUGGUCUGGGGACAGAAGCAGCAACAGGCCAAGAUGUCUGGACAAACGUGCCACUCAGCACUACAAGACAGUGAAUCUACAGCAGCAAAGCAGACAGCAAAAUUAUAUUCACCUAGCUAAUGUAAGGUUCAUUGAUUUAAUAAAAGGAACCAAGGGAGAGAGACAAAGACUGGAGAUUACUGAAAAUCAAGUGAAAGCCCUGGAGAAAUUCAAACCUAUCAUCAAGGUUCAGUUGUGAGUACAUGGCAUUCUCCUGUCUGCCACCUUUUUUAUUCCAGUAGUACAGAGUGUUACCUCAGGAGAAAGGAAUCUUUCCUUCUCAAACUGUUCACCUUGCCAAGAGGUGUGGCACACGCAGAGAAAGAGAAGCCACAUUCAUGCUGAAGCAAGCUUUGGGCAACGUUUCCUUCUGCAGCAGGCUCAUGUAAUAGGCUUGUGUGUUCUUCCACUCUGUGGCUAUGGUGUUUGCCUCAGGACCCUCAUUUUUUGCCACCCUCCAGGCUCUAGGUUUUUACAUCUUAUCUGUGUUUCUGCUUCAGAGUAGCAAAGAGAUUCCCAAAAUGUAGGUCCACUGUAAGUCAAAGCAAUAGUUUUCCUGAGCCAGCAGGCAGCCUUAGCCCACUGGCUCUGGAAAGCGCCACAACCGCCACCAGCCACGUCAGGUGCAUAAACCAUUCUCACCUCCUUUUUGACUUGAUAUAUAACAGGUGAGGGAUGAGAGGACUAUGCCUCUAUGAACAUUGACUGACACACGGGAUAUAUAAAUGUGUCACAAGACAUCCUUGUGCCUUGCAGCUCCCCUGCUGAGGGCCUACACUGGGCCUCAGUAUAUUCCCUCCACAAAGAAUUCCACAAAAUAUGGAGGUGUUGAUGAAAGCAGUGAGUGGGACACAAGAACCCACGUCAACUCGAGCAUUUUUAUUUACUGCUGGUGAUGUGCUGAAGCUGAUAUGAUGCCCAGUGGAAUAUAGCAUUGACCAAAAGAUAUUAAGCAAUUUUACAUGCAAGAUGCACACUGUCUAGAAGAAAUUGUGUUUCAAUUGACUAGCUUUAGUGUGUCAUCUACGCUGCACAUUUUAUACCAUUAAUGGUACAUACGGAAAAUGAGAGAAUAAGGGGUGUAAUACAUUGGAAUUAUUUUUUUGUUAAACAUUCACAGGGAAAUCCAGGGAUUGACAAUGUAUUGAGCAUGAAAAGUAAUUUCACAAUUAUUGAUCGUUAAAGUCCCAGCCUCCAAUCUGUCAUAAAAUGACAUUGUUGGUCUCAUUACAGCCUCUAGUGGACAGUAGUAAUCCACUUCACAGACCUGUCAUACCAUUUGCUCAAAUGACAAGCGUUAUCAACACAGAGGUUACUCCAAGAGAGCAUGAACAUACAAGUCAUUCUCAUCCCCUGGCAAAAAGGAUUUUUGAAUACAAUCAAAGGUUUGCUGUCAUUGCUUGUAAGGUGCCUUGCUUUACACUUCAGGUAUUAGCAUUGGCUUGUAAAUAAACAGGUAACUUCUGCUAUUCAUUUCAGCUUCUGACAGCUUUCAUAAAACCUAAAUUCAUCUCAAAUAUUUUUAUAACAGAAAAUAUUGGUUGCCAUGUUUUUGGCUUAAGUAAGAUGUUUUUAUUCCAACUCAGAAUCUGCCGACUGUCCAAUUCACCCCCUAUCUAUUUAUAGCCCUCUCGCAUUCAGAUAAGUUUUGCUAAUGCAGUUAUUUUCAUUAUUAUUUCAGACAUAUGCAGCUGAUUUAAGGUAUUUUAACAGCUUUAACAAAUGAGAAACUAUAAUUUGGAUUGCAGCUGGCUAAUUAAGGUAUGCUUUCCUCAGGAAAGUUAAAAAUGUACACGAUCUGAAGAAUAAUGUAUUUGGACUGCAUUCUUUAAGUGCCACUUGUGUGAACAUAAUAAAAUAUGACUAACAUCUUUAUUUUUUGUGUAUUCACUUAGAAAUGAGCGUACCUCCUGUCAAAACAGAGAUGUCGAGGAUGUUCUCCAGAACUCUGUGAUUGUUUUCAGAU
Long non-coding RNA from Myiozetetes cayanensis, 2235 nucleotides. RefSeq lists it as uncharacterized. The record is from RefSeq and is a predicted model, not a curated record. Lineage: Eukaryota; Metazoa; Chordata; Aves; Passeriformes; Tyrannidae. The transcript has 3 exons.